AUUGAACGCUGGCGGAAUGCUUUACACAUGCAAGUCGAACGGCAGCACGGGGGCAGCCCUGGUGGCGAGUGGCGAACGGGUGUGUAAUACAUCGGAACGUGCCCGGUCGCGGGGGAUAACGUCGCGAACGUUACGCUAAUACCGCAUACGUUCUGAUGAUGAAAGCGGGGGACCUUCGGGCCUCGCGCGCUCGGACCUGCCGAUGUCAGAUUAGGUAGUUGGUGGGGUAAAGGCCUACCAAGCCGACGAUCUGUCUCUGGUCUGAGAGGACGACCAGCCACACUGGGACUGAGACACGGCCCAGACUCCUACGGGAGGCAGCAGUGGGGAAUUUUGGACAAUGGGCGCAAGCCUGAUCCAGCCAUUCCGCGUGGAGGACGAAGGCCUUCGGGUUGUAAACUGCUUUUGUCCGGAACGAAACGGCUCUGACUAAUACCUGGUGUUCAUGACGGUACCGUAAGAAUAAGCACCGGCUAGCUACGUG
Molecule: ribosomal RNA, 484 nt
Filed under: uncultured bacterium
Lineage: Bacteria
Description: partial 16S ribosomal RNA
Rfam family: Bacterial small subunit ribosomal RNA
Source: RNAcentral